CCCUUUGAUACUCUGGGCGGCACGCGCGCUACAAUGGAUAACUUAACGUGUUACAUGUCCGAAAGGAUGUAUGCAAAUCACAAAUGUUAUGUCUCGAGUGGGAUAGUUUACUGCAAUUAUAGACUUGAACUAGGAAUCUCUUGUAGGUACACUGAAGCAUAGUGUACCGAAUACGUCCCUGCCGUUUGUACACACCGCCCGUCGUUUCUUCCGACUGAUACUCAUUGUGAAUUGCGGGGAUAACGUUGUUGAAAACCGUUGUAAAUGCUGGGUAUUGGAGGAAGAAAAAGUCGUAACA
RNAcentral lists this ribosomal RNA (298 nucleotides) under uncultured eukaryote. RNAcentral describes it as "partial 18S ribosomal RNA". It matches the Rfam family "Eukaryotic small subunit ribosomal RNA", at positions 1470 to 1796 of the family's 1831-position model. The record is from RNAcentral.